RNAcentral lists this long non-coding RNA (5854 nucleotides) under Apis mellifera (honey bee). RNAcentral's name for it is "uncharacterized LOC102653863, transcript variant X2". Lineage: Eukaryota; Metazoa; Arthropoda; Insecta; Hymenoptera; Apidae. The record is from RNAcentral.
AAAUAUAUAUAUAAUAAUAAUCGAGUUGAAAAUUAAAAUUCGAAUAAAAUAAAUAAUCGUAUAAUUAUUCAUCUUGCGAAUCAAAAGGAUUAACGCAGGGAAUUGGUUCAGAAAUCUUCGCCUUUAUCUUUAAUUCCGAAAAAGAGGAAAAAACUUGAAAGGAAGAAAAGUAAUAAUUAAAUCCUGAUUUGUUUGUUUGAAUAAUUAAUUCCACGUACCAGCUGAUAAAUCUAUCUCCACGAAAGGGGCUGAUGAAACGGUGUUGAAAAUAAAACGAUACAGUAUUUAUUGGCUUUCGGAGAGGGGCUUUCGUGACAAAUUACGAGCCAUAAUAAAUCUACUCCAGACUGUUACUUAUUAUCGUUCGGGACGCGUUCCUGGUUGGAGUUGCAGAGAACAAGAACGAACUAUUAUCCAAUAGUUACUUUAAAAUAGGACGAAGAAGGCAUUCCGUUUUUACAUACAAAUAAUAAUUUCAAGCUUAAAUUAACGCCUCGUGAUUUUCUGCUCGAUGAUCGAAUAAUUUCGAUAUUUACGAAUUUUUUUUGAAAAAUAUUAUAGAUGUCUUGUUAUUUCUACGUAUCAGUGACAGUGUUUUUUCAAUGAACGACAGGUAUUUCAUAAUGUGGGAAAAAUUAUAUUAUGAUUUUAGAAAGUUAAAUAGUUUUGGACUUGGAUUUAAUAUUCCAUUUAUAAAUCUAUUAUGUAAAAUCGUAGAUGAAAGUAUCAUAAGGAAGAUCAAUUUUUACAUUCUUUAUUCUUAUUCAAUAUUCUCCAUUAUUUGCCAAUCAAAGAAUAUAGAAGAUUAUUCGCUACUUAUAAUUUUGAUGAUUAAUGAAUGAAGCAAAAAUCUGAACAAUGACUUUUAAAAAACGUAAAAUUGUAAAUUGAACGAAUUUUAAGCGAUAUAAAAAAAAGAAAAAUGCAUAAACUUUCGAUCCUUUCUUUUACACGUUAACUUCGAUUGGAAGGGGAAACAAGAUUUCUGGAAAAAGUCGAAACGAAAAGGCAAAUCCAUCUCGUUUCUCUCCCUGAACGUUCGUAUACAGCGUGGAUGGAACGGAACUCGAACUCUCCAUUCCAACGAAACGAGAUUGACUGUAAAAGUUGGCAUUGUUGAGGAAAAGGGGAGAAGAACGCGAGUUCUGGAAAAGAGUCACGGGCCAGCCAUGUGUGUACAUACAUAAGUGCUCACGUACAGGGUGUUUCAUUUCGAACGUGAAAUAUUGGAUAUUUGAAGGAUCAAAAAUUUCACACACACACGGAUAUCCAAUAAUAAGAUUGGAAUAAUAGAAAAUGAAACGAUAAUUCCACGUCGUUUUAAGCUAUCAACUACUUCUUCCAUCGAUAUUAGAUGGAAUUUAAAAUACAGGGAAAUUUUAUUUUAAAUUGCUUCUUUAACUUACAAUUUGAUUCAUCGUAUAUUCCCUUCCAGUAUUUAUAAUCACAUUAUAUUCACCAUCAUUCUAUAUAAUUUAGUAAUACUCUCGUACUGAUUUAUAUUUCAAACUGUUCCUCCGUGUAGAAUUGCUUUCCGUAGGACAAAUACUUCUUGCAGGAUGGGGUCCUCUAUUUAUUCUUAAUGUUGUAAUCUCAAAAUUCAGAAGAUGGUGGACACUCUUUGUCCAAAAAGAGAGGUCAAGAUGGUCUUCUAAUUCUAGAAAUUUGAUUUUAUUUAGAAGAAAAAAUAUAACAGGUGGCUGAAUAAAUUAUUAUUCAACCCCGUUCGGUUGCAAGAACAAGCCUGUAAACCGGGAAAAAACGAAUCGAAGUCGAAGCGUUUCGUUAAGUGGUGGCUUGGUCGGGUCGGGAGAGGAGGCAAACGAGAUGCACAUCCAUCAGAGGCAGGGAGGAAAUGGCGAGGGUGUAGUAGGCGAUCCUUUAGAAGCAACAGCUUUCGUUGCUUUGCAAGCUCGGGGGUCUUCCACGAGACGCCCUCGUUCGUCCACGCGGUGAGAGAAGUUGGGAAGAAGUCUUGGCAUCGGCCAGAGAAAUCUCGCGCAGCCUGUAUUCAAGAACCAUGGAAGGAUAACCGUGGAAGGCGAGAUUAAAGGCGUGGUGGAACGUUUGGGACGAGAUCUCCCAUUGUUUGUCGUUGCUUGGAAAAUCAUUGUGAAGAAAUUCAUGCUCUGGAAACGUUGUAAGGCAAAAGAAAAUAGAAUAGGAAAAUCAUUGUAAAGAAAUUCAAGCUGAAAGGAAACGUUGUAAUGCAAAAGAAGUAAAUAGUAUAAGAAUUUAUGGUAUCAACAAUUGACUUUUGCAUCUUGUUAAGAAAUUCUCCUAGUCAAUUCUUGGAACAAUUCUAUAUAAUGCACACUUUUGUAAUAACAAUGUUUUCACGUCGUGUACAACAAGGAAAAUAUAUUUUCUCUUUGAUACAAAUACUCGUCAUUGUCAGAGAGAAAUAUUUCCUUCCGAGGAGGAAAUUUAAAUUCUUGAUAACUCCAACUUGAUUACUCGUUGAAAUAUUUAUAUAUAAGUCUUUGAAACAUAGAUAGAAACGUAGACCAUUCCGCUUUGUAAGGGGUAUACACCAUUGUGAAAUAUUCAAAUGACAGCUUUUUUUUUUUUUUUUUUUUCAUGGAUGAAAAGAAGAGAGUUUCUGGUAAGAAACUGGAUUAAAAAAAGUCUGACUUGUAUAUUUUUACGUAUCGUUGGGAUAUUACAAAAUACAAAGAUGUUGAUAAUUAUUAAAUGAAUCGAUGUUUUAAUUUUUGAAAUGUUAAUAAAGAAUAACAAAUAAGGAUUUUUCAAAAUAAACAUAAACUAAAUCUCAGCUCAACAUAUCAAGUUUUAUAAACUAAAACUGUUCCAGAUAUUCUAGACUCGCAAAAAGAAUAGAGAAACAGGAUAAAGUGAUUGGAUGGAACGCGAUUGGUUGAAAGCGGUCAAUGGCUCUUGCUAAAAUUGUUCAACGAAACAAAUAUUCAAAAUAUGAAGGAAAUUGUUCAGACGACAUAAUGGCGCACAUUGAUUCGAUGAAUGGGUGGAAAACUCGCGCAAUUUAUGUCCAGCGAAAAAGGAAUUUCCGAAAAUUCCAUUAACCAUUUAAUUCCAUGCAAAGUGAACAUUAAAAUCGCGGACUAAAUUCCUUUCGGCAAACAGACGAGCAACCUCUUUUCCCUAAAACCGUAAUCACGUUUAUCACGGUCGUGAUCGUUUCACGUCUAAAACGAAUUCUCUUGCCAAGUUUUUCUUUUUUCUCUCUCCCUCCUUCCCUUCUUUUUUCCUCUCUCUCAUUUUUCCUUUCUUUUUUUCUUUCUUUCUCUUCUCCUCCUUCUUCUUGUUCUUUUUUCAUCUUCCCUCGAAACACAUGCAAAUUAAUCGCAUUAUCAACGAAUCGAGCAUAUUGUUCUCUCCCUUUGUUUUCCGGGAACACAUCGAGAAAUUGAAAAUUUUGCCAAUGUUAUAGGUAACGUAAAGAAACGGUUAUAAACCAGGGGGAUCCAGGAUAAUUUAUGGAGAAGGCAUGCCGCCAAGAUUUAAGGGUACUUAUAAAUUUUCAAAACUGACGAAUAUUGGAGACUCGUUCAGUCAAGUAUUUUACUUGUUAGCAAUGAGUAUCAAAUAUUUCAUAUUUGUUACUUGGAUUUAUAUUUAACUAGAUUAAACUCGAUCCCAUCUACCGUUGGUGCUCGAAUAAGAACGAAACGUUGAAAAAAAGUGAAGGAAAAAAACGAGAAUGGAGAACAGUUGACGAAACGAAAAAAGAAAAAAAAGACUGGAAUCACAACUUGAACAUCGAAUGACUGGAACUUGAAAAAGGAGGACAAAAAGCUGUAUAGCCCUUUCAACGUAUCGUUCCACGAUCCCGUCGUCGAAAGCCUUUGCACGAUCGUUUUUCCCGCGUUUUUUUCUCUCAUUCCUUCUACUUUCUUCGACCCCCGUAUCACUCUUGUUUCGAGCAUUAAUUUCUCUCUCUCUCUUUCUCUCUAACCUUUUUUCUCUGUCUAAUAGAUGCCAUCUAAGGACAAAAACUAUUAUCGACACGGAAAAAUAUACGAGUACAGAUCAGCGAGGCGAAAAUCAAAUAGAAAAUAAAAUCAAUAAUAACAAAAUUGCAUUGAAAGAGUUUAAAUAAUUGUCGAAUAUAAAUAGAAUUUGUAAUUAAUUUGUAUUUCUAUAAAAGAUAGUAAGAAUUUUUACACUAAUAAAUAAAUCAAGAUGAAAAAUAAAUAAACAAAAGUGCACUUCGAUCUUCGAUCACACGAAGAAUAGGCUCGUGAAGAGAAUCCUCAGAGAAUCGCAGAUUAAUCGAGCAAUUACGAUCACGAUAUAUCCGUCGUUUCACGGAUCGACGCUUUUGAAAUUUUGAACGAGAGAUCGUGCCCACGUGGACACGAUUUUCUCGACCACGGAGGCGUUUCCACCGAGACGGGCCUGUUUUCACGAUAAAGAUCUUCGAUAGUUGGGCCCAUUACCUGUUGCACACACUUUGUGAAAGAGUGACAUAACGUAAGGAGAAGCAGAAACCGGCUGAAUCGUAUGUGGGAGUAAUCCUUGCGCCGUGUAGGCCGAUCCCAAUUUCCUUCUUUUAAUCGAAUCACGUGGAUGUCUGUACGUCAACUUUUAUACACAUUUCUUUAAUCCUCUAACGUAUCUUUUUCAAAGGGAAAUCGUCGAAGAAUUCAUCGCAAUGCAUUUAGUUGUGGGAUGAAAGUAAUUGAGGAGGAAAUUUCCAAGAAGGUAAUUACGUACUUGUUAAAUUUAAUAUUCUGACGAAAGAUAAGUUACUGGAAAAGAAGACAGACUUUUCCCUCCUUUUUUCAUUCUUCCCUUCGUAAGUAUUCUUUCAACUUUUAUACACAUUUCUUUAAUCCUCUAACGUAUCUUUUUCAAAGGGAAAUCGUCGAAGAAUUCAUCGCAAUGCAUUUAGUUGUGGGAUGAAAGUAAUUGAGGAGGAAAUUUCCAAGAAGGUAAUUACGUACUUGUUAAAUUUAAUAUUCUGACGAAAGAUAAGUUACUGGAAAAGAAGACAGACUUUUCCCUCCUUUUUUCAUUCUUCCCUUCGUAAGUAUUCUUUCAACUUUUAUACACAUUUCUUUAAUCCUCUAACGUAUCUUUUUCAAAGGGAAAUCGUCGAAGAAUUCAUCGCAAUGCAUUUACAUUGUGGGAUGAAAGUAAUUGAGGAGGAAAUUUCCAAGAAGGUAAUUACGUACUUGUUAAGUUUGAUAUUCUGACGAAAGAUAAGUUACUGGAAAAGAAGACAGACUUUUCCCUCCUUUUUUCAUUCUUCCCUUCGUAAGUACUCUUUUACGAGAAAACGAUUGAUUCUUUCUCUCUCUUAUUUCUUCCCUCCCAAUUAGAACAACGAAUUACACAUCGUCGCUUAUCCUCCCCGAUAUGAGAUAACGAGGAAACAUUGUUGAUUCCCCGACACACGGUUUAAAUAGAAAUCGGCGAUCCGGAAAUGGAUAUCCGGAAUGGGAGCCGUGGUCAAACGGGUGUAAUAACGUUUAAACAAAUUCCGCGGUCCGGUCAAUAAUCAAUUUGUCAGGCGCAUCGAUGAAUCUGGCCAAUCCUCUCCCCUUUUUCCUUCCUUCGCGCGCUUGUACGCAGAGGGGAGGAGGGGGAAGCUAUCGACAACCGCAAAAUCGCACGCGCAUCGCCGCCAAAUCGGAUUUCGCGGUGGCCGCCCGUAUUAUUUGCAUAUCGGUUCCAGCGUUUCGUUGGAAACAACGACGGUCCGUCCACGGUGUUGCAUCGACGAGAUUGUGAGGGGGAGGAGGAAAGGAGGAAAAUGAAUGUGGAGCACGGGGAAAUAAAGCAGUCGGUAUGUCGUGCUCGGGGGAGGGAUUAGAAGGAGGGAGAGGAAGGUCUGGAUGAAUUUACGAUACGUUGGGUGACGCUUUUU